GCCUGGGUGGUGAAAUUGGUAUACACGCCAGUCUUAGGAACUGGUAGGUUUAUCCUGUGGAGGUUCAAGUCCUCUCCCAGGCA
Molecule: transfer RNA, 83 nt
Filed under: Sphingobacteriia bacterium
Lineage: Bacteria; Pseudomonadati; Bacteroidota; Sphingobacteriia
Also listed under: 1 other name
Description: tRNA-Leu
Rfam family: tRNA
About the family: Transfer RNA (tRNA) molecules are approximately 80 nucleotides in length. Their secondary structure includes four short double-helical elements and three loops (D, anti-codon, and T loops).
Source: RNAcentral